This 123-nucleotide long non-coding RNA is filed under the name Pan troglodytes (chimpanzee). RNAcentral's name for it is "lincRNA". The record is from RNAcentral. Lineage: Eukaryota; Metazoa; Chordata; Mammalia; Primates; Hominidae.
AGGAGGUGGGCUACUACAGGGACAUGAGCUGCCUAACUGCCAUCCUCCUCCUGUAUCUGCCAGAGGAAGACAACUUCUGGGCACUGGAUCAGCGGAUGGCUGAGGAGAGGCACUCCCUGCAGG